RNAcentral lists this ribosomal RNA (465 nucleotides) under Vreelandella stevensii. RNAcentral describes it as "partial 16S ribosomal RNA". It matches the Rfam family "Bacterial small subunit ribosomal RNA", at positions 338 to 795 of the family's 1533-position model. The record is from RNAcentral. Lineage: Bacteria; Pseudomonadati; Pseudomonadota; Gammaproteobacteria; Oceanospirillales; Halomonadaceae.
CCUACGGGGGGCUGCAGUGGGGAAUAUUGGACAAUGGGGGGAACCCUGAUCCAGCCAUGCCGCGUGUGUGAAGAAGGCCCUCGGGUUGUAAAGCACUUUCAGUGAGGAAGAACGCCUGGUGGUUAAUACCCAUCAAGAAAGACAUCACUCACAGAAGAAGCACCGGCUAACUCCGUGCCAGCAGCCGCGGUAAUACGGAGGGUGCGAGCGUUAAUCGGAAUUACUGGGCGUAAAGCGCGCGUAGGUGGCUUGAUAAGCCGGUUGUGAAAGCCCCGGGCUCAACCUGGGAACGGCAUCCGGAACUGUCAAGCUAGAGUGCAGGAGAGGAAGGUAGAAUUCCCGGUGUAGCGGUGAAAUGCGUAGAGAUCGGGAGGAAUACCAGUGGCGAAGGCGGCCUUCUGGACUGACACUGACACUGAGGUGCGAAAGCGUGGGUAGCGAACAGGAUUAGAUACCCGAGUAGUC